AUUGAACGCUGGCGGCAGGCCUAACACAUGCAAGUCGAACGGUAACAGGAAGAAGCUUGCUUCUUUGCUGACGAGUGGCGGACGGGUGAGUAAUGUCUGGGAAACUGCCUGAUGGAGGGGGAUAACUACUGGAAACGGUAGCUAAUACCGCAUAACGUCGCAAGACCAAAGAGGGGGACCUUCGGGCCUCUUGCCAUCGGAUGUGCCCAGAUGGGAUUAGCUAGUAGGUGGGGUAACGGCUCACCUAGGCGACGAUCCCUAGCUGGUCUGAGAGGAUGACCAGCCACACUGGAACUGAGACACGGUCCAGACUCCUACGGGAGGCAGCAGUGGGGAAUAUUGCACAAUGGGCGCAAGCCUGAUGCAGCCAUGCCGCGUGUAUGAAGAAGGCCUUCGGGUUGUAAAGUACUUUCAGCGGGGAGGAAGGGAGUAAAGUUAAUACCUUUGCUCAUUGACGUUACCCGCAGUAGAAGCACCGGCUAACUCCGUG
This 490-nucleotide ribosomal RNA is filed under the name uncultured bacterium. Its description in RNAcentral is "partial 16S ribosomal RNA". It matches the Rfam family "Bacterial small subunit ribosomal RNA", at positions 30 to 507 of the family's 1533-position model. The record is from RNAcentral.